RNAcentral lists this ribosomal RNA (253 nucleotides) under uncultured bacterium. RNAcentral's name for it is "partial 16S ribosomal RNA". It matches the Rfam family "Bacterial small subunit ribosomal RNA", at positions 524 to 776 of the family's 1533-position model. The record is from RNAcentral.
UACGUAGGGGGCAAGCGUUGUCCGGAUUUAUUGGGCGUAAAGAGCGUGUAGGCGGCCAGGUAGGUCUGCUGUGAAAACUCGAGGCUCAACCUCGAGACGUCGGCAGAAACCAUCUGGCUAGAGUCCGGAAGAGGAGAGUGGAAUUCCUGGUGUAGCGGUGAAAUGCGCAGAUAUCAGGAAGAACACCUAUGGCGAAGGCAGCUCUCUGGGACGGUACUGACGCUGAGACGCGAAAGCGUGGGGAGCGAACAGG